GGGACCCGCACAAGCAGCGGAGCGUGUGGUUUAAUUCGUUGCUACACGAAGAACCUUACCUGGGUUUGACAUAUAGGUUGUAGGGAACUGAAAAGGGACGACCCUUCGGGGAGCCUAUACAGGUGUUGCAUGGCUGUCGUCAGCUCGUGUCGUGAGAUGUUCGGUUAAGUCCGCUAACGAGCGCAACCCUCGUCGUAUGUUAUAUGUGUCAUACGAGACUGCCGGUAAAAAGCCGGAGGAAGGUGAGGAUGACGUCAAGUCAGCAUGGCCUUUAUAUCCUGGGCUACACACACGCUACAAUGGGAAGGGACAAUAGGUUGCGAAGCCGCGAGGCGGAGCCGAUCCAGCAAAACUUCCCUCAGUUCAGAUUGCAGGCUGCAACUCGCCUGCAUGAAGUUGGAGUUGCUAGUAAACGCAGGUCAGCCAUACUGCGUUGAAUACGUUCCCGGGGCUU
Molecule: ribosomal RNA, 454 nt
Filed under: uncultured Anaerolineaceae bacterium
Lineage: Bacteria; Bacillati; Chloroflexota; Anaerolineae; Anaerolineales; Anaerolineaceae
Description: bacterial SSU rRNA
Rfam family: Bacterial small subunit ribosomal RNA
Source: RNAcentral